AGCCGGGUCCUGCGCAACGAAAUGUUACUAACCCCGUCAGGUCCGGAAGGAAGCAGCGGUCGUAACUUCUUUCGUGUGCCGCAGGGGAGCCUGGCUAUC
Deltaproteobacteria bacterium SM23_61 is the source of this 99-nucleotide non-coding RNA. The record is from Rfam. NCBI's taxonomy places the organism in Bacteria, Deltaproteobacteria.